RNAcentral lists this ribosomal RNA (181 nucleotides) under uncultured bacterium. RNAcentral's name for it is "partial 16S ribosomal RNA". It matches the Rfam family "Bacterial small subunit ribosomal RNA", at positions 298 to 498 of the family's 1533-position model. The record is from RNAcentral.
GGCGGGGCGGGGGCACGGGGGGCCUACGGGAGGCAGCAGUAAGGAAUAUUGGUCAAUGGACGAAAGUCUGAACCAGCCAUCCCGCGUGCAGGAUGACUGCCCUAUGGGUUGUAAACUGCUUUUAGUAGAGAAGAAACGCAGUCAUUUAUGAUGCCUGACGUACCUACAGAUAGUUUCGUUU